This is a long non-coding RNA of Pezoporus occidentalis (night parrot), 313 nucleotides long. RefSeq lists it as uncharacterized. NCBI's taxonomy places the organism in Eukaryota, Metazoa, Chordata, Aves, Psittaciformes, Psittacidae. The record is from RefSeq and is a predicted model, not a curated record. The transcript is spliced from 2 exons.
CCAUCUGCUGUCUUAUUUGAUAUUCCAAAUCAGAGAUUUGAGCCUGCAACCAUGUCCAACAGCAAAUGAUGGCGACUCUCUCCAUCACCCACUGGCACUCUGCAUGAUGACAUCUGGAAAGCAAGAGAACACGGAUUUGAUGGAUGAACCACUUGGUGGAUAAGGAAUUGGCUGGAGAGCUGCACUCAAGAGUUGCAGUCAACGGCUUGAUGUCCCAGUGCAGACCAGUGAGUGCUGUCCCUCAGGUGUCAGUGUUGGGACCAGUGUUGUUCAACAUCUUUGUGGGCAACAAAGGAUUGAGCAGUGCAACAAA